Molecule: long non-coding RNA, 2009 nt
Filed under: Lepisosteus oculatus (spotted gar)
Lineage: Eukaryota; Metazoa; Chordata; Actinopteri; Semionotiformes; Lepisosteidae
Description: lncRNA (ENSLOCG00000022091.1)
Source: RNAcentral
ACUCCAUUUCGCAUGAUUCUUCAAGCACUGUGGUCAGGCUUUCUCCAGGAGUUAAUUGACUUGCCAUGGGGACCAGCAGGGAGCUGGAGAGGAGGAGGUGAACCAACCCAUAGAUUGGGAAUAAACCAGUUUAUUCUAAAAAAAAUACUUUUCAUUUUCUCUUCACUGGGUGCAGUUGUUUUCUGCCUACUGCCUAGAGUCAUGUGUAGAGAAAUAACUCUGGCACAAGUGCCGUGCUUUGUUAGUUUACAGUAUACUACGGCAGUGCUAUAUGCCUGUACCAACAAAGUGUAUUUACAAGGAUAAAAGGUGAGUGGAAGGGUACAUUAAUUUGAAGUUUUUUCCUUUCAUUAGCUUUUUUUUAAUGGAGUUUGUAACAGAAAAUCGGGAGGAAGAAAAUCUUGCACUCUUAGGUUUGCCAAUGGAUAUACGUCACACAUCUCUUACUUCUCCUGCCACCCCACCUACACCCCUACAGUAACUCCCUGCCUUGGCCCACACACUUUCAGAUAGGAAUUAAGCUGCUUCAAAAUUGAAUAAGAAGAAAGAAUUCUUAUUCUUUCCUCUUAUUCAAUUAAUAAGCCUACAGGGAGGCCUACAAGUAGGAGGUCAAUCUCCUUACAACAUGGUGUGAUGACAACAACCUCACCCUCAACGUCAGCAAAACCAAGGAGCUGAUCGUUGAUUUCAGGAAACUGCAAACCGGACAUGCCCCUAUCCACAUCAACGGGACUGAAGUGGAAAGGGUCAGUAACUUUAAAUUCCUUGGUGUCCAUAUCACCGAGGACCUCACAUGGUCUCUCAACACCACCUGUCUGAUCAAGAAAGCGCAACAGAUGCACUACAGAAAGCACACUGACAGGCUGCAUCACAGUGUGGUAUGGCAACUGCAGUGCUGCUGACCGCAAAGCCCUACAGCGGGUGGUGAAAACUGCCCAGUCCAUCACUGCGGUUACCCUCCCAUCUAUCCAGGACAUUUAUGACAGACGGUGCUUGAGGAAAGCUCUAAGCAUAAUCAAAGACCCCACACACCCCAGCUACAGACUUUAUGAUCUGCUACCAUCUGGAAAACGGUACCGGAGCAUUCGGGCCCGGACUACCAGACUCAGAGAUAGUUUUUACCCCCGCACUAUCAAACUGUUAAAUUCCCAGCCUCUCUCACUCUCACUCUCACCUCACCACUCACCUAUGAUCUGAACCUCACAGUGCCUUCUUCCUUCCUUUCUUUCUUACCAAAAACCCAAACACACAUUGAAAAUCUUCUACCAUACAUGUCAAAAGCUCACUCCCCAUAAUUUCUAUCCCUUUAUUUUAUUCUGUUGAUGCAUAUGAACUUGAACUUAAACCUUAUUGCCAUAUGUAACCGGUACUGGUACAAUGGAAUUCUUACUUACAGAAAGUCUCUCGUUUGUAAAACAAGUGUAAAAAACAAAACAAAGUGCAAAGAGUGCAUCAAGACAAUGUACAAACAAACAAUAGACAAUGUGCAAGUAAACAUGCAGACAGUUUGAAUGUAAGUAAACAUGCAGACAGUUUGAAUGUAAGUAAACAUGCAGACANNNNNNNNNNNNNNNNNNNNNNNNNNNNNNNNNNNNNNNNNNNNNNNNNNNNNNNNNNNNNNNNNNNNNNNNNNNNNNNNNNNNNNNNNNNNNNNNNNNNAAGUAAACAUGCAGACAGUUUGAAUGUAAGUAAACAUGCAGACAGUUUGAAUGUAAGUAAACAUGCAGACAUUUUUGCACAUAACCUGUUACCUUUUUGUUGUUUUGCACAUUGCCUGUUGUUUUUUGCACAUUGCCUGUUGUUGGUUUUUUGCACAUCGUCUGUUGUUGUUUUUUGCACACUGGCUGUUGUCUCUGUCUUUAUUUUGCUACACAAUUGUAUUGUUGUUGUUGUUGUUGUUUUUUCUCUUUGUACUACUUAUGUCCGAGAGCUACCUAAAUAGCAUUUCGUUAUACCAUAAACCAUGUAUAUAAGUGUAAUGACAAUAAACUUGAAACUUGAAACUUGAA